RNAcentral lists this ribosomal RNA (487 nucleotides) under uncultured bacterium. RNAcentral describes it as "partial 16S ribosomal RNA". It matches the Rfam family "Bacterial small subunit ribosomal RNA", at positions 28 to 507 of the family's 1533-position model. The record is from RNAcentral.
GAUGAACGCUAGCGAUAGGCUUAACACAUGCAAGUCGAGGGGCAGCACAAGGUAGCUUGCUAUCUGGGUGGCGACCGGCGCACGGGUGCGUAACGCGUAUGCAACUUGCCCUAUACAGGAGGAUAACCCGUCGAAAGACGGACUAAUACUGCGUAUGCUCACAACUUGGCAUCAAGUGGUGAGGAAAGAAAUUCGGUAUAGGAUAGGCAUGCGUCCCAUUAGCUUGUUGGUGAGGUAACGGCUCACCAAGGCAACGAUGGGCAGGGGAACUGAGAGGUUUAUCCCCCACACUGGUACUGAGACACGGACCAGACUCCUACGGGAGGCAGCAGUGAGGAAUAUUGGUCAAUGGGCGCGAGCCUGAACCAGCCAAGUCGCGUGAAGGAGGACUGUCUUAUGGAUUGUAAACUUCUUUUAGACGGGAAUAACAAGAGUCACGUGUGACUCCCUGCAUGUACCGUAUGAAUAAGCAUCGGCUAACUCCGUG